AAACGAGACCCAGCACUGGAAGUCUGAGUGCUCCAUUCGGUGAUCAGCACUGAACGCAGAGGACUCACCAUGAAGUUUGGGCCGAGCUGGGUUUUCCUUGUUGCUAUUUUAAGAGGUGUCCAGUGUGAGGUGCAGCUGGUGGAGUCUGGAGGAGGCUUGGUCCAGCCUGGGGGGUCCCUGAGACUCUCCUGUGCAGCCUCUGAAUUCACCUUCAGUAGCUAUGACAUGAAUUGGAUCCGCCAGGCUCCGGGGAAGGGGCUGGAGUGGGUCUCAGCUAUCAGUACUGGUGGUAGCACAUACUACGCAGCCGUGAAGGGCCGAUUCACCAUCUCCAGAGACAACGCCAAGAACUCGCUGUAUCUGCAGAUGAACAGCCUGAGAGCCGAGGACACGGCCGUGUAUUACUGUGCAGGUUACACAAUGAGGGGAAGUCAGUGUGAGCCCGGACACAAACCUCCUGCAGGGGACCCCGCCACCACCAGGGGGCGCCCGGGCGCUGUGCACGGGGCUGUCUCGGGCAGGUGCAGGUGCUGCUGAGGGCUGGCUUCCUGUCAUGGUCUGGGGCUGCCUCGUUGUCACAUUUCCCCAGGGAACCUCCAGGAUUUACA
This is a non-coding RNA of Callithrix jacchus (white-tufted-ear marmoset), 608 nucleotides long. Lineage: Eukaryota; Metazoa; Chordata; Mammalia; Primates; Cebidae. The record is from the annotation of a RefSeq genome assembly.